CAUAACCAUUUUUAUUUUGUAAUCCUUUUGAUAAGUUGUCUAAUAUCUUAUAGUUAUGUGACAAUUUCAUUUAAAAUAAAAGGCUCAUGCUAAAUUUGCUUAAACAUGGUUUCAAAGGUAACUCCAUUUCAGGAAAUGACAUCAGCACCCCAUUUUUGAAGUUCAUACAAAAGCAGAGUGUAACCUCAGAGACAACCUUUCACCAAUUAUACACAUUUUUCACCAGAUGAAUGAUGUUUUUAUACAUUUCUAUUGUCAUCCUCUUAGAGGUGCCAGGUAAGUGACAUUUAUAAUAAUAAUACUAAUCAACAACAACAAAAAAACACAUUAUUUAAAUGUACUCAAGUUUGCUUUGUUUAAUUAAAGCAGUUGUGCUGGGAGUGGAUUUGGAUCAAGGUCCAAAGGUUGUGGUUAAAGGAGUGGGCAAAACAAUAUAUCUGCAAUGCAAAGCGGAUGGUCUGAGUGAUACAGACUAUAUCCACUGGUACCAAGUUAAAGACAAAGAAGCCCCAACGAGGCUACUCUACAUCAGUAAAGGAGGUAGUGUUGCUCGUGAUACCAGCGCUGAUGCAGCUGACUUCACAGUGGACAAAACAAAGCUUUAUGAUCUAAAACUGAGUAAUACUCAGCCGAAACAUUCUGCUGUUUAUUUCUGCGCCUACUGGGACACAAGCAGCGGCAACUGGAUCAAAAGAUUUGGACCUGGAACACGGCUGAUUGUAACUGGUAGGAAACAGUGUCAGAAUUUCUUCAAAUGCAUAAAAUAUUAUAAUUUUUAUGUAAAAACUUUGCCAGUCGUCCUUUUUUUGUUUGUUUGUUUGUUCACUGAUGACUGAAACUAUGUUCAACGUGUUUCUCUAGGAAAUACUGAGUCGCCAAAAGUGUCUGGAUACCUACCGUCAAAGAAAUCCAGUGACAAAGAUGACAUUCACACAAUGUUAUGCCACGCAAGAGACAUGAUUCCUGACUUGGUGAAAUUCACAUGGCAAAAAAAGAGCGGAACAAAAGAUUGGGAGGAUGUGAAUGAAAAUGUUGUUGAACAGAGUUACAAAGUUAAAGUAAAUAAUAAAGAUCAAGUUAAAGCAGUGUCAAGUAUGAUGAUUAUAGAUAAAAACACGGCCGAAAACAACGACUACCAAUGCAUUGUUACCCAUGAGGGAGUCAAUGAGAAACCCCAAACUCUUUUAAUGAAGAAAGGUAAUUUGAAGAAACUUUGAUUUCCUACAAAUUUCAUGGAAAUAAAUUUGAACACAACUGAUACGGUUCUAGACACAGAGAGCUUUGAUUAUAAAUAAUUAUUCAUUAUAAUAAACGGAAACCUCAUUAAAACUAUAAUAUAAAGCAAAUAAUUAAUUAGAAUUAAAACUAUCUUUUAUUUGAAUGAAACAUUACAGUGUAAACAUAUGGAUGAAACUGUAAAAUUGUAUGACAUUCAGAAAUACAUGUGUGUGUGGUGUCUGUGCAUGAAUUUUUUUAUUGUAAUGUUUUUUUUUUGUUUUGUUAUAUUUUAGAUGAAAUUAAGCCGCCAAUGGUUCCUACGAAGAAAAAUUGUCCAGCCACUGAUGAGACCAUAAAAAAUCAAAUAUCAGGUGAAUAAAUAAAAUAAAUAUAUAUAAAUAUCUAUAUGAAUUUGGAUAAAUAUAGAUACAUUUGGAUGGAUCUUUUAAAACUAUUUUUGUAUUUCAAAAUCUUGUUUUCAAGCCAAAUUUUUUACAUAAAAAAAAAAAAAAUAUAUAUAUAUAUAUACACAUAUAUAUAUAUAUAUAUAUAUAUAUAUAUAUAUAUAUAUAUACAUACAUAUACAUAUAUAUAUAUAUAUAUAUAUACAUAUAUAUAUAUAUACAUAUACAUAUACAUAUAUAUAUAUACAUAUAUAUAUAUAUAUAUAUAUAUAUAUAUAUAUAUAUAUAUAUAUAUAUAUAUACAUAUAUAUAUAUAUUUGUCUGUAUCAGUUAAAAUCAGAGUGUGUACAUUUUUCUUUUUAUGCUUCGUAAAUUAAUUUAACUUAAUGUUAUGAUUAUUAUGGAGUCACCGAACUAUUUUGACCGAACUGAUCCUAAUUUGUCUUAAUACUUUUAUUCACUCUGUACUUUAGUGGACCAAAAACAAAAGAAAAAAAAUUUACAUUGUCAAAAAAUUCCUGCUGAAACAUUUAAUACACAUAUAUUAUUAAAACAUGAUUUAAGCAGAAAUGUUAUGCAUGGUAUUUAUAUAUAGUAAGAAUAAAGUUAUUAACAUAUAAAUGUUUUUCAUUAAAAGCAUUUAACAUUUUUUUUUUUUUUUUUGCUUUAUUACAGGAGAUUCGGAGCAAAUACGCAGUCUGUACGUGUUUGUCUAUGCAUAUGGUGUCAUGAUCAUGAAGAACGUACUGUAUUUUUUUGUUGUGACUAUCUUUCUAUUAAAGAGAAAAGCUGCAAGAAAGAAAGAUGAAACCUCUUAGAGAUUUAAUGCUAAUAUAAGAUAAAUAUCAAUUAAGCAAAGGUUAUUAGCAAGUUUCGCUGACUAAAGAAUAGAUACAUAUCUGCAGCUAUAUUAUCUCUGCUUAACUGUAUUGCUUUUACAUUUGUAGUAGGUUUUCUUUGCAUAGUUUAGUUUUGCAUAUUUGAAAUGUAUCAUUUAGAUUAUUAAAAAUGUGUAAUGUACCCAAAUUUUUAAAAUGUGUUUUGCAUUCCCUUUGUUUUUUUUGUUUGUUUUUUGUUUGUUUUUUUUGCAUUCUCAGAAUAAAAUCUGCUCCUAAAAUAAAUUAAAUGUUAUUCUUAGAUGUGUAGUAAAAGGAAUUCU
This is a long non-coding RNA of Carassius auratus (goldfish), 2781 nucleotides long. NCBI's taxonomy places the organism in Eukaryota, Metazoa, Chordata, Actinopteri, Cypriniformes, Cyprinidae. The record is from Ensembl.